CGUGGCCUACGGGGGGCAGCAGUGGGGAAUAUUGCACAAUGGGGGAAACCCUGAUGCAGCGACGCCGCGUGAGUGAAGAAGUAUUUCGGUAUGUAAAGCUCUUUCAGCAGGGAAGAUAAUGACGGUACCUGACUAAGAAGCCCCGGCUAACUACGUGCCAGCAGCCGCGGUAAUACGUAGGGGGCAAGCGUUAUCCGGAUUUACUGGGUGUAAAGGGAGCGUAGGUGGCA
This 230-nucleotide ribosomal RNA is filed under the name uncultured bacterium. RNAcentral's name for it is "partial 16S ribosomal RNA". It matches the Rfam family "Bacterial small subunit ribosomal RNA", at positions 333 to 580 of the family's 1533-position model. The record is from RNAcentral.